UUCCAUGGUAUCCCGGAACCGUGGGGGCGGGACCCUCGAAGGGGCGGGCGAACGCCAGAUAACCGGAUCCGUUUGCGCUGCAGCAUUUUCAGUCCUCUCAACAGCCCUGCAGUGGGCUGAGAUGUGGUAUACCUGGGAAAAGUAAAGAUCUGCAAGAUUGGUGAUUCCCCCAGUCAAGGGGCCACACUCCAGGGCCUCCUGUACACAUCACGUUCAUUCCUUUGGGAAUGAGUGCCUCCUGUGCACCAGGCAGCGAGCAGGUGCUGGACAUGCUACAGGGAACAUGGCAAGUCCCCUGCCAUCCUGAAGCGCACGUAAUGGCUCUCCCUUGAACAUCACUGCCAGAAGGACUCCGAACAUCCUGGGGUACCUGUCUCUUCUACUUAUCUGGAAGAAUGGCUUAAAGAGGCUGGUCUGACCCAUCCCAUACGUUUCCAUCCAUGGAGGACAAUUUGACAUCACCAUGACAAAUGCUGCCACCUGUGACCCAGCAAUACUAGUUCCAGGAAUUUAUCCUAUAGAAACACUUGAAUAUAUACAUAGUGGCACUGGUAUAAGAAUAUGUAUUGCAGUGUUGUCUGUAAUAUCAAAGUCAUAGAAACAACUUAAACUUCUGUCAGUAGGGAUCUAAUUACAGUUCAUUAACGUUAGUUAUGGAAAAUGCAUAAAGUGUAAUACCACUAACUAUAAAAAAUAAAGGAGAACAUUGAUCAUGGAAA
Molecule: long non-coding RNA, 719 nt
Organism: Galeopterus variegatus (Sunda flying lemur)
Lineage: Eukaryota; Metazoa; Chordata; Mammalia; Dermoptera; Cynocephalidae
Exons: 2
Source: RefSeq, a predicted model, not a curated record